Molecule: non-coding RNA, 438 nt
Organism: Paramuricea clavata
Lineage: Eukaryota; Metazoa; Cnidaria; Anthozoa; Malacalcyonacea; Plexauridae
Source: the annotation of a GenBank genome assembly
GGUAUUUCACAUUUGAUGGUGCGGAAUGUACAAAAUCAACCCCCAUCGUCACCGCCAUAUUGAAGGCUACUGUAACCAGGUUCCUAAAGGUCACAUACGUGUGGGGUUCUGGAUAGGCAAGUGUCAGAGUAAUAGUCUCGGAGAUGGUUUACUGGUUGGAAUUCCAUCUCUCGUAUUGUGAUUGAAGAAGUACCACCUCCUCAAGCUUAAUAUAUUUAAAAAAAGAGUAGUAUUCAUAUCAUACUGUAUAACCAAAUUAUACAAGUAUAUAACUUUUACAAAAGAGACUUAGAGAAAAAGCUGAAAUCAUUAUCAGUUAUAUUUCAAUUCUGUAAUUGUCAGUAUUGUGUUUGAUGUUCAUAAUGUACUACUCAAAUGUAUCACACAAAAAUUGCCUUUGCUAAAACUCAACAUUAAAUAAACUAUUUUCUUCAGCAU